This 513-nucleotide long non-coding RNA is filed under the name Manihot esculenta (cassava). RNAcentral describes it as "long non-coding RNA (MESC_LNC005389)". Lineage: Eukaryota; Viridiplantae; Streptophyta; Magnoliopsida; Malpighiales; Euphorbiaceae. The record is from RNAcentral.
GACUUCAAGGUUCAAUAUCCGGGUGAGGCAAAUACUUAGUAGAUGCCCUCGACUGGAAACCACUUGACAGCUUAUUCCAUCCCUUAGUGCAAGAGGAAGGAGGCCAGUAAUCGGAGGACAAAAGGAUCAGAACUGCUGUAAGUCAGCAGGAGAGUUAUGAAGUUGUCCACAAGAGGCAUGUAGAGUACCAGAAGAGAGAAGAGUUUUGUCAGAGUGUGCAGCGGAAGCAUGUUGAGGUUCUCGAGGAAGUUGAGGUUACUGGAGGUGUCUCCUAAAGAGAGGGUGAUUCGUUACGGGCAAAAAGGUAAAUUAACUCUCUAAUACAUUGGACCCUUGAAAUCCUGCAGAGGAUUGGGAAUGUAUCCCACGAGUUAGAUUUACCUACUUCAAUGGAAGAGAUCCAUCCGUUUUUCCAUGUUUCCACGGUAUAUGAGUUUGUGUCGGGUCCGAGUGAGGUUCUUGAAGGAACCAGAGGUGGAGAUCGUAGAGGAUCUCACCUAUGUUGAGCAGCUA